GGCUUAACACAUGCAAGUCGAACGGGAUCUUCGGAUCUAGUGGCGCACGGGUGAGUAACGCGUAGGAAUCUACCCAUUAAUCUGGAACAACAGCGGGAAACUGCUGCUAAUGCCGGAUACGCUCUUCGGAGGAAAGAUUUAUCGUUAAUGGAUGAGCCUGCGUUGGAUUAGGUAGUUGGUAGGGUAAUGGCCUACCAAGCCGACGAUCCAUAGCCGGUCUGAGAGGAUGAUCGGCCACACUGGGACUGAGACACGGCCCAGACUCCUACGGGAGGCAGCAGUGGGGAAUAUUGGGCAAUGGGCGCAAGCCUGACCCAGCCAUGCCGCGUGAGUUUGAAGGCCUUAGGGUUGUAAAGCUC
Molecule: ribosomal RNA, 359 nt
Filed under: uncultured organism
Description: bacterial SSU rRNA
Rfam family: Bacterial small subunit ribosomal RNA
Source: RNAcentral